UAGGGAAUCUUCCGCAAUGGACGCAAGUCUGACGGAGCAACGCCGCGUGAGUGAAGAAGGAUUUCGGUUCGUAAAACUCUGUUGUUAGAGAAGAACAGCGCAUAGAGUAACUGUUAUGCGUGUGACGGUAUCUAACCAGAAAGCCACGGCUAACUACGUGCCAGCAGCCGCGGUAAUACGUAGGUGGCAAGCGUUGUCCGGAUUUAUUGGGCGUAAAGCGAGCGCAGGCGGUCAAUUAAGUCUGAUGUGAAAGCCCCCGGCUCAACCGGGGAGGGUCAUUGGAACCUGGUUGACUUAAGUGCAGAAGAGGAGAGUGGAAUUCCAUGUGUAGCGGUGAAAUGCGUAGAUAUAUGGGGGAACACCAGUGGCAAAGGCGACUCUCUGGUCUGUAACUGACGCUGAGGUUCGAAAGCGUGGGUAGCAAACAGG
This 429-nucleotide ribosomal RNA is filed under the name Bacteroidota bacterium. RNAcentral describes it as "Bacteroidetes bacterium partial 16S ribosomal RNA". It matches the Rfam family "Bacterial small subunit ribosomal RNA", at positions 355 to 776 of the family's 1533-position model. The record is from RNAcentral. Lineage: Bacteria; Pseudomonadati; Bacteroidota.